ACCCAGACUCCUACGGGAGGCAGCAGUGGGGAAUAUUGCACAAUGGGGGGAACCCUGAUGCAGCGACGCCGCGUGAGUGAAGAAGUAUUUCGGUAUGUAAAGCUCUAUCAGCAGGGAAGAAAAUGACGGUACCUGACUAAGAAGCCCCGGCUAACUACGUGCCAGCAGCCGCGGUAAUACGUAGGGGGCAAGCGUUAUCCGGAUUUACUGGGUGUAAAGGGAGCGUAGACGGCGAUGCAAGCCAGAUGUGAAAGCCCGGGGCUCAACCCCGGGACUGCAUUUGGAACUGUGUGGCUGGAGUGUCGGAGAGGCAGGCGGAAUUCCUAGUGUAGCGGUGAAAUGCGUAGAUAUUAGGAGGAACACCAGUGGCGAAGGCGGCCUGCUGGACGAUGACUGACGUUGAGGCUCGAAAGCGUGGGGAGCAAACAGGAUUAGAUACCCCAGUA
RNAcentral lists this ribosomal RNA (446 nucleotides) under uncultured bacterium. Its description in RNAcentral is "bacterial SSU rRNA". It matches the Rfam family "Bacterial small subunit ribosomal RNA", at positions 329 to 792 of the family's 1533-position model. The record is from RNAcentral.